Molecule: non-coding RNA, 46 nt
Organism: Homo sapiens (human)
Lineage: Eukaryota; Metazoa; Chordata; Mammalia; Primates; Hominidae
Source: Rfam
AAUUAGGCUUUCAUGAAAGCCACCGGAUAGUCCUUAUAAAAAAAUA